Molecule: unclassified non-coding RNA, 326 nt
Filed under: uncultured marine bacterium 311
Lineage: Bacteria
Description: partial 16S-23S ribosomal RNA intergenic spacer
Source: RNAcentral
CCUCCUUAAAAAAUAAUCGCUUAGGAUAGGCGUUCACACUUAAUAACUUGCUUUUACCUAACUCAUUUCUUUACAGAUUUGAGAUUAAGGAGCGUUCUUUAACAUUUUUAUAAGUUCAAUCGGGUCAAAUCAUAGUGUCUUUGUUUUUUAAUUUAGAUAUGAAUGAUGUGCAAAUGUCACCCAACCCGUCAUGUUUUAGAACAUAAGUUUGGAGUACGUACUGCAAAGUAAUUUUGGCCAAUGACAAUAUAUACUUGAAGAACAUUAAUCAUUAAGUUGUUUGAUGGAAUAUGGUCAAGUAAUUAAGCGCAUACGGNGGAUGCCUA